UGAAAAACCCUCAUAUUCCAAGAUCGCUGCUAAGAAAAUGGAUGGCCACUUGGUACAUCUAGAAAGGUGAAGGACCAUUGGAGAUAUACCACAUGAGGCUAUAACUCUGUGAACUUUGAAAAUAUGGAAGAGCCACCCCAUAGCUC
RNAcentral lists this long non-coding RNA (146 nucleotides) under Monodelphis domestica (gray short-tailed opossum). RNAcentral's name for it is "lncRNA (ENSMODG00000045594.1)". The record is from RNAcentral. Lineage: Eukaryota; Metazoa; Chordata; Mammalia; Didelphimorphia; Didelphidae.